This 281-nucleotide long non-coding RNA is filed under the name Prunus persica (peach). RNAcentral's name for it is "long non-coding RNA (PPER_LNC004594)". Lineage: Eukaryota; Viridiplantae; Streptophyta; Magnoliopsida; Rosales; Rosaceae. The record is from RNAcentral.
GGUUCCCCACAUAUUUUGUUGUAUUAUAUGAUUUGGGCCGAAAGCCCAUGGAUCACAAUUUAUGAAAAUUCCUGAACCUGAAGUUUUGAGUAUAUAGUAGUUAAUGCUCUUCACUAUUAUAUUACAAUAUUAUCAUGAUUUUUCCUCAAUUCAUAUUUCAUGUUCAUUUGAAAAGGGCCAAUAAAUUAUGAGGUCGUGUUUAGCCUGGGCCAGAAGUUACGGGCUCACAUGCAUUGAAAUAUGUAAUUUGAGAGAUUUGAUGUGGUUACUUGAGCCUAUAA